GACGAACGCUGGCGGCGUGCUUAACACAUGCAAGUCGAACGGAAAGGCCUGCUUUCCCUUGUGGAUUGCGGGUACUCGAGUGGCGAACGGGUGAGUAACACGUGAGUGAUCUGCCCCCAACUUGGGUAUAAGCCUGGGAAACUGGGUCUAAUUCCCGAUAGGACUGCAGGGUGGUGCCUGUGGUGGAAAACGAUUUUCUAGUGGUUGGGGAUGAGCUCGCGGCCUAUCAGCUUGUUGGUGGGGUAAUGGCCUACCAAGGCGGCGACGGGUAGCCGGCCUGGGAGGGUGGACGGCCACAUUGGGACUGAGAUACGGCCCAGACUCCUACGGGAGGCAGCAGUGGGGAAUAUUACACAAUGGGCGGAAGCCUGAUGCAGCGACGCCGCGUGGGGGAUGACGGCCUUCGGGUUGUAAACUCCUUUCGACCGCGAGGAAGCCACCUGGUUGGAAGGGUGGUGACGGUAGUGGUAGAAGAAGCACCGGCUAACUACGUG
Molecule: ribosomal RNA, 494 nt
Filed under: uncultured bacterium
Lineage: Bacteria
Description: partial 16S ribosomal RNA
Rfam family: Bacterial small subunit ribosomal RNA
Source: RNAcentral